CCUACGGGAGACAGCAGUGAGGAAUAUUGGUCACUGGCCGGAAGGCUGAACCAGCCAAGUCGCGUGAAGGACGAAGGUGCCAAGCAUUGUAAACUUCUUUUGUCCAGGGACAAAAUCAGGCUCGUGUGCCUGACCGAGGGUACUUGAUGACAAAGCCUCGGCUAACUCCGUGCCGGCAGCCGCGGUAAUACGGAGGAUGCGAGCGUUAUCCGGAUUUAUUGGGUUUAAAGGGUGCUUAGGCGGGCGUUUAAGUCAGCGGUAAAAGCCCGGGGUGAAACCCCGUCGAGCCGUUGAAACUGGCUGGCGUGAGAUGUCGAGAGGUAUGCGGAAUGCGCAGUGUAGCGGGGAAAUGCUUAGAUAUUGCGAAGAACUCCGAUUGCGAAGGCAGCAUACCGGCGGCGAUCUGACGCUGAGGCACGAAAGCGUGGGUAUCGAACAGGAUUAGAUACCCUUGUAGUC
RNAcentral lists this ribosomal RNA (459 nucleotides) under uncultured bacterium. RNAcentral's name for it is "partial 16S ribosomal RNA". It matches the Rfam family "Bacterial small subunit ribosomal RNA", at positions 338 to 795 of the family's 1533-position model. The record is from RNAcentral.